This 484-nucleotide ribosomal RNA is filed under the name uncultured bacterium. RNAcentral describes it as "partial 16S ribosomal RNA". It matches the Rfam family "Bacterial small subunit ribosomal RNA", at positions 30 to 507 of the family's 1533-position model. The record is from RNAcentral.
AUUGAACGCUGGCGGCAGGCUUAACACAUGCAAGUCGAGCGGAUGAAGGGAGCUUGCUCCUGGAUUCAGCGGCGGACGGGUGAGUAAUGCCUAGGAAUCUGCCUGGUAGUGGGGGAUAACGUCCGGAAACGGGCGCUAAUACCGCAUACGUCCUGAGGGAGAAAGUGGGGGAUCUUCGGACCUCACGCUAUCAGAUGAGCCUAGGUCGGAUUAGCUAGUUGGUGGGGUAAAGGCCUACCAAGGCGACGAUCCGUAACUGGUCUGAGAGGAUGAUCAGCCACACUGGAACUGAGACACGGUCCAGACUCCUACGGGAGGCAGCAGUGGGGAAUAUUGGACAAUGGGCGAAAGCCUGAUCCAGCCAUGCCGCGUGUGUGAAGAAGGUCUUCGGAUUGUAAAGCACUUUAAGUUGGGAGGAAGGGCAGUAAGUUAAUACCUUGCUGUUUUGACGUUACCAACAGAAUAAGCACCGGCUAACUUCGUG